Myxocyprinus asiaticus (Chinese sucker) is the source of this 287-nucleotide long non-coding RNA. RefSeq lists it as uncharacterized. The record is from RefSeq and is a predicted model, not a curated record. Lineage: Eukaryota; Metazoa; Chordata; Actinopteri; Cypriniformes; Catostomidae. The transcript has 3 exons.
UGUGAUGGAAACUAUUUAACCACACUUCAUCUGGAGAAAGCAAUUUGAUUAGAACUGCACUGAGAGGUUCAGAAGCUCCUCAUACUAAAGCAAUUCAUCUUGAUAUGAUUUGAUGACUUGAAACAGUAUGUCAACACCCAUGAAGAGGACUUUAUAGAGAUACAACUGCACUGAAGGAACCAAACUGUUGCCUACCUGAAUGAAGAGUCCCAGAUCAAGAAGCAUUGAUCAGAUUAUGUCAAGCUCUUUCUGACAGAAGCAUACAAAUGAAAUAUUGCUAAUACCAG